GCGCGAGUGGCGGAAUUGGUAGACGCGCACGGUUCAGGUCCGUGUGCUGGAAACGGCGUGGGGGUUCAAGUCCCCCCUCGCGCACCA
Molecule: transfer RNA, 87 nt
Filed under: Leifsonia xyli
Lineage: Bacteria; Bacillati; Actinomycetota; Actinomycetes; Micrococcales; Microbacteriaceae
Also listed under: 164 other names
Description: tRNA-Leu
Rfam family: tRNA
About the family: Transfer RNA (tRNA) molecules are approximately 80 nucleotides in length. Their secondary structure includes four short double-helical elements and three loops (D, anti-codon, and T loops).
Source: RNAcentral